Molecule: transfer RNA, 82 nt
Filed under: Chthoniobacter sp.
Lineage: Bacteria; Pseudomonadati; Verrucomicrobiota; Spartobacteria; Chthoniobacterales; Chthoniobacteraceae
Also listed under: 1 other name
Description: tRNA-Leu
Rfam family: tRNA
About the family: Transfer RNA (tRNA) molecules are approximately 80 nucleotides in length. Their secondary structure includes four short double-helical elements and three loops (D, anti-codon, and T loops).
Source: RNAcentral
GCCGGGGUGGCGAAAUUGGCAGACGCGCCAGACUUAGGAUCUGGUACCGCAAGGUAUAGGGGUUCGAGUCCCCUCCCCGGCA